CCUACGGGAGGCAGCAGUGAGGAAUAUUGGUCAAUGGGCGCUAGCCUGAACCAGCCAAGUAGCGUGAAGGAUGACUGCCCUAUGGGUUGUAAACUUCUUUUAUAUGGGAAUAAAGUGCAGUAUGUAUACUGCUUUGCAUGUACCUUAUGAAUAAGGAUCGGCUAACUCCGUGCCAGCAGCCGCGGUAAUACGGAGGAUCCGAGCGUUAUCCGGAUUUAUUGGGUUUAAAGGGAGCGUAGGCGGGUUGUUAAGUCAGUUGUGAAAGUUUGCGGCUCAACCGUAAAAUUGCAGUUGAUACUGGCAUCCUUGAGUACAGUAGAGGUAGGCGGAAUUCGUGGUGUAGCGGUGAAAUCCGUAGAUAUCUGGAGGAACAUCAGUGGCGAAGGCGACUAUCUGGCACAUAACUGACGCUGAGGAGCGAAAGCGUGGGUAGCAAACAGGAUUAGAUACCCCUGUAGUC
This 460-nucleotide ribosomal RNA is filed under the name uncultured bacterium. RNAcentral's name for it is "partial 16S ribosomal RNA". It matches the Rfam family "Bacterial small subunit ribosomal RNA", at positions 338 to 795 of the family's 1533-position model. The record is from RNAcentral.